Molecule: microRNA, 21 nt
Filed under: Oryza sativa (Asian cultivated rice)
Lineage: Eukaryota; Viridiplantae; Streptophyta; Magnoliopsida; Poales; Poaceae
Description: osa-miR5501
Source: miRBase by way of RNAcentral
UCUUGUGGCUAGAAGGGUGAG